AACAAGAGGGAAAGCAACGUGUGGAAAGGCAACAAUUAAUGAUAGACGAGAUGAUGGGGCCCACAAUGUCAAACACCUCCUUCAGUAGGAGUGAGGGUAUGUAGUCAGAUGGGCAUGUUGUUGGCUUCAGAUGACUACUUCCUGCAGAAGGGAGAGGGACACAGGUUCAAACUGAUUAAAAACAGACAGGACUAUAGGAGGAUCAAGAGGAGGCUGCUGAAUUUCUCUUGGACAUCUCCAACCUUAGCGCCAGGGAAACCGACUGUCUUUACAAACUUUCCAUUAAUGUUUCUUACAAUGGAGUUGCCAAUGACAAGUGUGACUGGGAGAGAGACUGGUGGAGGGAUCUGAGCCAGAAGCAGUGCGGUGAGAGGGGUGACCAGUGGUUGCAUCCCAUGAGCCGGAAGGUUGGUUGUGCGGCUGGGAGGAGGGCUGAGGGCUGUCAUACCUGUUGGUCAGUUCAAGCUCACCGGGUGGAGAGUAGUGAGAGAACGACUUCUUCUUCUUAGCCAGUGGUCCUCAGAAUGGGGUUGAACAGCUGGAAUGCUGGCGUCUAGCUCAGCCUCAGUGGUGGCAGUAGCAACGGCGCUGACAGUGACCAACAUGGAAUGUUUAAGCUUAGGAUUCCCAGCCAGGAUUGUCCGAGUCCAGCUCGACAACCGUGGUGGGCAGGUGUCAAACCCGGAUGGAGAGUUCACAUCAGGCAGACCAAUCAAGAGGAAGUGGUCGGAGAAAAGGCAGAGCUGCUAACCGGGGCAGAGGCAGAGGACGACCGGGACGCGGUCGUGGUAGAGGAAGAGACAGAGGCGCCUUCGGUCUGACUGUGGAGGAAGUAUUACGUGUGCAAGGCAACCGGGUUGUGAACCCCAGUUGCUGCGGUUACGCGAACGUUUUCCAGAUCCUCACAGCCGAUACGUAGACUUUCGCCCAAGUAGGCUGUAGGCCUAACUGACA
Siniperca chuatsi (mandarin fish) is the source of this 954-nucleotide long non-coding RNA. RefSeq lists it as uncharacterized. The transcript has 4 exons. The record is from RefSeq and is a predicted model, not a curated record. Lineage: Eukaryota; Metazoa; Chordata; Actinopteri; Centrarchiformes; Sinipercidae.